This 370-nucleotide ribosomal RNA is filed under the name Boophis andohahela. RNAcentral describes it as "partial 16S ribosomal RNA". It matches the Rfam family "Bacterial large subunit ribosomal RNA", at positions 2076 to 2597 of the family's 2925-position model. The record is from RNAcentral. Lineage: Eukaryota; Metazoa; Chordata; Amphibia; Anura; Mantellidae.
GCGGGGAUACAAAUAUAAGACGAGAAGACCCCAUGGAGCUUUAAACCCAACGACACCCAUUUUCUUUAUACCCUAGUAUUCAUUUGGCUAUGUUUGAUUGGUUUUAGGUUGGGGUGACCACGGAGCAUAAAAUAACCUCCACGAAGAAGAGACUAAUAAUCUUUAUCAAAGAAGUACACUUCUAAGAAUUAACAAAUUAAUUUCCAAUGAUCCGAUAUUCGAUCAACGAACCAAGUUACCCUGGGGAUAACAGCGCAAUCCACCUCAAGAGCUCCUAUCGACAGGUGGGUUUACGACCUCGAUGUUGGAUCAGGAUAUCCCAGUGGUGUAGCAGCUACUAAAGGUUCGUUUGUUCAACGAUUAAAAUCCU